Molecule: long non-coding RNA, 2135 nt
Organism: Limulus polyphemus (Atlantic horseshoe crab)
Lineage: Eukaryota; Metazoa; Arthropoda; Merostomata; Xiphosura; Limulidae
Exons: 3
Source: RefSeq, a predicted model, not a curated record
GUAUAAUCACAGGGUCAUACAAUAACUUCUUCCGGAUCUUUGAUCGUAACACGAGACGUGAUGUAACAUUAGAAGCUUCCAGAGAAACGGCCAAAGCUAGGACAGUACUGAGGCCAAGAAAGGUUGGCACAGGUGGGAAAAAGAAAGAAAGAUGAAAUAGGUGUAGACUGUUUAGAUUUUAAUCGAAAAAUUUUACACACAGCGUGGCAUCCAAGAGAAAACAUAAUCGUCGUAGCAGCAACCAAUAACCUUUAUAUCUUUCAAGAAAAGAUGUGAGUGAUCAUGGUGUCCAGUGUUUAAGAUUCCCUUAUCAUAUAAAACUUUUUGAAGGCAUAAGAAAAACUAUUGUAGAUACACGGGUCCCGAGAGAUGUUGAAGAAAUUCUUGAAAUAUAUCAACUAUUAUGGUAUAUAACGCUCUAUGCUAGAGAAACCUGAUCUUUUGAUGAAUGGUUUGUGUGACAUUAAAUCACUGAUACUAUAGGGCUAGUGAAGAGAGAUUUAUAGAAAAUUCUUGUAGUGACAAAAUGUCACAGAAACUAAAGAUCCCGCUUCUCUAGCAUAAGAAGUUAUAAACCAUACUGGUUGAUGUAUCGUAAAUGAGCAAUGUGAAGGCUAUGUUGUAUUUCCAGCUGACCCUACGAGCUUCGGCAUUGAACAAAAAGCCUCAUCAGCAUGACAUGCAGUGCACUGUGUGUGUGAUAAUAAUGCCAUUAUGGUUAUUCUUACUGGAAAUCUAUAGUUUAGGGCGAUUUUUAUAAAUCUAUUAUCAAUUUCAUCGUGAUGUCACACACUAAUCCAGGUGACUUAGAAAGCUUGUAAGUGAUUUGAAUUGUGUGUUGUCCUUUAAUUUUGAGCAAAGAAAACCUAAAAGCUUCUCUUCUCUGGUCCGUGACAGUACUUCUAUCCAAUGUCUGCAGUUGGGCAAGAUGCAGAAGAAGUUCCUGAAACUGUACUGUUGAACCGUGGUGCACACAGAGACUGGUUUCAAGUGGCUGUGGUUUAAGAGUCCUUGGUGGACUGUGCCUUCAUCCCAAUUUAUUGUACACGUUCACCAUCGUAUUGCAAUGUCGUCGGUGUUCACGAGACGUAUGCGUGUCGAUGUAUAUAUAUAUAUAAAUAUAUAUAUAUAUAUAUGUUCCCCUCAUUUGACGUAUGUGAUGCCUGUUAAACGUAGUAACCACUCAUGAUUCUUAAUAUUAGUUAAUUAGAAAGCUUAUAAUACUGGAAAUGACUGCUCAGUGUUCUGAAAAGACAUGAGCCAAAACGUUUUGUCAGUAGUCUGUGUGGGGCUAUGUAUUAAUGGCAUAUUUUUCAGUUUGAAAUCACUGUUGCAGGUUAUCUUGAGUUCACAAGAUCAGGGAAAUAGGGAUCAGUAAAUUCAGCAAGCCGUUAUUUAUACCAAUAUAAUGUUACAAAAUAUAGAAGAAAAAUCAACUUUUUAUGUAGAUAUUAGAUUGUAGAUAAAACUCAUUUCUAAAGAUUAAGCACUGUCUCCAUCGAAAAGGUUAGUUAUAAUAAUGCUUUGGAAUGAAUGGAAAUAUUUUUCCAUUCACUGGUUAUUGUGAAGGAGUCUUCCAGGAUGGUCUCGUCAUUUUACACUAUUUUCACAAUAUAUCAGUAUUAAAUGAGAUACGUCAUUCAAGAUGUUUAGUUUUUAUUUAGUAGCCUGAAGAAAAUUAAUUAAUUCUCGUGAAAUGCUCAAUUUAAUAUUAAUUUUAAGCAUGCUGAGUUAUUUUUUUAGUUAUUAUUUCACAUUUCAGAGAAAUAUGCCUGGAGAUCAAAUUGUACAGGGUUGAUCAUGAAGUAUGAAUAAUUUUCUCAAUUAUUGACUUAACUGAUAAAGGUCCAAACCUUUCAACAGCUUACAAGUUCAGUCUCAUACUUUCACUUUAGAGUAUUAUACAAUAAAGACUUUUCUGAUGAAACACAUCUCCAGUUCUUUCCAGGACGAAGGCUGCUAAAUAAUGAUUGAAUUGAGGUGAUCCUCGACAAGGGAUGUCAUCUUGCAUGUAGGUGUUUGUUCUGUGUGCAUGAAAGGGGAUAAACUAGAACUGUUAGUAAUGUUUGACAUCUUGUAUAAAUACAUUGUUGUGUUAAAGAGAAAACAAUAAAGGUUAAGAAUUAGUGUUGUAA